AUCUUAUCAAGAGAAGCUGAGGGAUUUGGCCCGAUGACGCUUCAGCAACCUCUAACAAUUGUUAGAAAGGUGCUAAUUCCAGCGAAGGAUUUUUCCUUUGAGAGAUAAGAG
This 111-nucleotide non-coding RNA is filed under the name Lysinibacillus sphaericus. RNAcentral's name for it is "Lysinibacillus sp. SAM-I sequence". It matches the Rfam family "SAM riboswitch aptamer (S box leader)". From Rfam's summary of the family: The SAM riboswitch is found upstream of a number of genes which code for proteins involved in methionine or cysteine biosynthesis in Gram-positive bacteria. The SAM riboswitch acts at the level of transcription termination control. Lineage: Bacteria; Bacillati; Bacillota; Bacilli; Caryophanales; Bacillaceae. The record is from RNAcentral.